CUUGUUUUUCACUCUCGUUUCAUAGCUUGUUCUUUAGCUGCCCAAUUUCAGAAAACGAACUCGGCUCACUGAAUCAAUAGCAGCAAAGUAGCAACCAAUCUUUAUUAUUUAGAAUUGGUCUCGAGAGAUGAAGGAAGAAGAGGCAGGACCACAAAAGAGAGAGCUUUACGCGGUGCUGCAAGUGUCGCCCGAGGCCACCAAUGAAGAAAUCAGAAAGGCUUAUCGCCAUUGGGCUCAAGUCUACCACCCUG
Molecule: unclassified non-coding RNA, 251 nt
Filed under: Hevea brasiliensis (rubber tree)
Lineage: Eukaryota; Viridiplantae; Streptophyta; Magnoliopsida; Malpighiales; Euphorbiaceae
Source: RNAcentral